This 71-nucleotide transfer RNA is filed under the name Coniochaeta ligniaria NRRL 30616. It matches the Rfam family "tRNA". From Rfam's summary of the family: Transfer RNA (tRNA) molecules are approximately 80 nucleotides in length. Their secondary structure includes four short double-helical elements and three loops (D, anti-codon, and T loops). The record is from Rfam by way of RNAcentral. Lineage: Eukaryota; Fungi; Ascomycota; Sordariomycetes; Coniochaetales; Coniochaetaceae.
AAGGGCAUAAUUUAAGAGUAAAAUAAUAAUUUUCUAUAUUAUAAAUUUAGGUUCUAAUCUCGAUACCUUUA